CCUACGGGUUGCACCAGUGGGGAAUAUUGCACAAUGGGCGCAAGCCUGAUGCAGCCAUGCCGCGUGUAUGAAGAAGGCCUUCGGGUUGUAAAGUACUUUCAGCGGGGAGGAAGGUGUUGUGGUUAAUAACCGCAGCAAUUGACGUUACCCGCAGAAGAAGCACCGGCUAACUCCGUGCCAGCAGCCGCGGUAAUACGGAGGGCGCAAGCGUUAAUCGGAAUUACUGGGCGUAAAGCGCACGCAGGCGGUCUGUCAAGUCGGAUGUGAAAUCCCCGGGCUCAACCUGGGAACCGCAUUCGAAACUGGCAGGCUAGAGUCUUGUAGAGGGGGGUAGAAUUCCAGGUGUAGCGGUGAAAUGCGUAGAGAUCUGGAGGAAUACCGGUGGCGAAGGCGGCCCCCUGGACAAAG
This 408-nucleotide ribosomal RNA is filed under the name uncultured bacterium. Its description in RNAcentral is "bacterial SSU rRNA". It matches the Rfam family "Bacterial small subunit ribosomal RNA", at positions 338 to 738 of the family's 1533-position model. The record is from RNAcentral.